RNAcentral lists this ribosomal RNA (251 nucleotides) under Pseudomonas sp. Its description in RNAcentral is "partial 16S ribosomal RNA". It matches the Rfam family "Bacterial small subunit ribosomal RNA", at positions 1297 to 1533 of the family's 1533-position model. The record is from RNAcentral. Lineage: Bacteria; Pseudomonadati; Pseudomonadota; Gammaproteobacteria; Pseudomonadales; Pseudomonadaceae.
AUUGGGGUCUGCAACUCGACCCCAUGAAGUCGGAGUCGCUAGUAAUCGCAGAUCAGCAACGCUGCGGUGAAUACGUUCCCGGGCCUUGUACACACCGCCCGUCACGUCACGAAAGUCGGCAACACCCGAAGCCAGUGGCCUAACCACCUUGUGUGGGGGGAGCUGUCGAAGGUGGGGCUGGCGAUUGGGACGAAGUCGUAACAAGGUAGCCGUACCGGAAGGUGCGGCUGGAUCACCUCCUUUCUAAGGAG